This is a long non-coding RNA of Prionailurus viverrinus (fishing cat), 850 nucleotides long. RefSeq lists it as uncharacterized. Lineage: Eukaryota; Metazoa; Chordata; Mammalia; Carnivora; Felidae. The transcript has 3 exons. The record is from RefSeq and is a predicted model, not a curated record.
CUCAUCUCUGGAGGCCAUGGACACUGAAACGACAUCUUUAAAGCACAUAAAGCAAGAUCAAGUGGAAUUCUUUAUCUAUGGAAAUUUUUGAUCGUGAAAAACAGACAUUUACAGAAGAAGCAAACUGGAAGAACUUGUUGCCAAUGGACCUGCUCUAUAAGAAAUGCUAAAGCAAGUUCUUCAGUAUGAAGAGAAAUGAAAUCAGUAGGGAACUCAGAGCUUCAGGGACGAAUGAAGGCGACUGGAAAUGGUAAAAGAUCAAAAGCAACUAGAGAUGCAAUGCUUCAGAACGCAGAUGGCAGAAGACUUGCCAGGCAGCCAUUCACCCUUAUGUGACAGCCUCUGCUUACGCUGAAGCUUGUUUCAGUCCAGGUUCACAGACAUUCUAUCAAAAUGGCACACGUUUCUCUGUGGCUUCUGUGAAAGACCAAUGGAGGAAGUGCUAGAAAACGAGGCCAAAGCAGCACCGUGGGCAGUGGUGCAGAUUCAAGGACACACUGUGAUUGUGGAACAAAAAUGUACUUCUGAGGCCUGUCCAAUUUCACUACUAAACACUUGAAGAAAAAAAGUGGCAGCUGAGUUUUAAGAUGAAUCUGUACAUCAAUAACAGCUAUAGGAAAAGACCCCAAGACCAGAAAUGCCAGCUACCAUGGGUCUCGCCUCUCCCCCCAUGUCUUCCUAACUCCAGCUGCCCACCAAAACCCCUGAUCCGGACAAAACACACCCCUCUUUUCUACCCCAUCUCUACACUGAUCCAAGUUUCUGACCACACUUAAAGCCCAAUUUGAACUGCUACAAUUUUUUGUUCCCCAAACUCCUUGUGGCCUUUUACCCAACCUCUCCCCAGCAC